GUGCUUGCUUCGGCAGCACAUAUACUAAAAUUGGAACGAUACAGAGAAGAUGAGCAUGGUCCCUGCACAAGGAGGACACACAGAUUCGUGAAGCAUUCCAUAUUUUG
Mus pahari (shrew mouse) is the source of this 107-nucleotide small nuclear RNA. Lineage: Eukaryota; Metazoa; Chordata; Mammalia; Rodentia; Muridae. The record is from RefSeq and is a predicted model, not a curated record.